GGUUUGAUUCUGGGCUUCAGAUUGAACGCUGGCGGGAUGCUUACACAUGCAAGUCGAACGGCAGCAUGGACUCUUCGGUCUGCGGUUACUCGGCGAACGCGCAGUAUCCAUCGGAACGCCUAGUAGCGGGGAUAACUACGCGAAAGCGUAGCUAAUACCGCCACGCCCUUCGGGGGAAAGCGGGGACCUUCGGGCCUCGCACUAUUAGAGCGGCCGAGUCAGAGUUCAGCUAGUUGGUGGGGUAACGGCUCACCAAGGCGACGAUCCGUAGCUGGUUUGAGGACGACCAGCCACACUGGGACUGAGACACGCUCCAGACUCCUACGGGAGGCAGCAGUGGGAAUUUUGGACAAUGGGGAAACCCUGAUCCAGCCAUCCCGCGUGUGCGAUGAAGGCCUUCGCUGUAAAGCACUUUUGGCAGGAAAGAACGGCACGGAUAAUUACUCACCGCACCGUCCACAUUCCAAUGCCGAAUAAGCACCGGCUAACUACGUGCCAGCAGCCGCGGUAAUACGUAGGGUGUAAGCGUUAAUCGGAAUCCGCCCACAUGCAAAGCGUGCGCAGUGCGGUUCGGAAAGAAAGAUGUGGAAAUCCCAGAGUCAACUUUGGAACUGCGUUUUUAACUACCGAGUUCCAGAGCCACACGAUGUGAACUCCGCACAUUGUCGAACGCGUCAGAUGAUACUGCGUCGGAUGAACACCGAUGGCCGUCAGCAGCCUGGGAUAACACUGACGCUCAUGCACGAAAGCGUGGGAGCAAACAGGAUUAGAUACUCCUGGUAGUCCAGUUCCCGCCAAACGAUGUCAACUAGCUGUUGGGGCCCGGGCCUGGUAGCGCAGCUAACGCGUGAAGUUGACCGCCUGGGGAGAUGACAAGAUCACAACCAUGAAUUGACGGGGACCCGCACAAGCGGUGGAUGAUGCUGAUUAAUUCAUAGCCCGCAACGCGAAACCUUACUCUUACCCUUGACAUGUCUGGAAUCCGAAGGAGAUUUGGGGGAGUGCUUCGCAAGAGAACCGGAACACAGGUACGUCGCGCCACGCCGCCCGGUCACGAAAUGAAGUAACAGUCCUUAACGAGCUUCACCCUUCAUCACCGUCAGCGGCUACCGACGACAACCACGCUGGCGACAACCGGAGGAAGGUGGGGGAUGACGUCAAGUCCUCAUGGCCCUUGCGGGUAGGGCUUCACAUUGUCCGUACAAUGGUCCACACAGAGUCAUCACCAACUCACCAGGAGUUCAUCCAGAAACCUUAUCCUCAUCCAGAUCGCUCCUGUAAUCGACUGUCACGUGAAGUCGGAAUCGGGCUAGUAAUCGCGGAUCAGCAUGUCGCGGUGAAUACGUUCCCGGUCUUGUACACACUGCCCGUCACACCAUGGGAGUGGGUUUUACCAGAAGCAGUUAGCCUUAACCGUAAGGAGGGCGAUUACCACGGUAGGAUUCAUGACUGGGGUGAAGUCGUAACACGUGUCCCACUGAUGCUCCUGAAGAUAUUAAUGCGCAUCC
This 1508-nucleotide ribosomal RNA is filed under the name uncultured Bordetella sp. RNAcentral describes it as "partial 16S-23S ribosomal RNA intergenic spacer". It matches the Rfam family "Bacterial small subunit ribosomal RNA". The record is from RNAcentral. Lineage: Bacteria; Pseudomonadati; Pseudomonadota; Betaproteobacteria; Burkholderiales; Alcaligenaceae.